RNAcentral lists this ribosomal RNA (440 nucleotides) under uncultured bacterium. Its description in RNAcentral is "partial 16S ribosomal RNA". It matches the Rfam family "Bacterial small subunit ribosomal RNA", at positions 338 to 795 of the family's 1533-position model. The record is from RNAcentral.
CCUACGGGAGGCAGCAGUGGGGGAUAUUGCACAAUGGGGGAAACCCUGAUGCAGCGACGCCGCGUGUGGGAAGACGGUCCUCUGGAUUGUAAACCACUGUCCCCAGGGACGAAGAUGACGGUACCUGGGGAGGAAGCUCCGGCUAACUACGUGCCAGCAGCCGCGGUAAUACGUAGGGAGCGAGCGUUGUCCGGAAUUACUGGGAGUAACGGGAGCGUAGGCGGGACUGCAAGUUGGGUGUCAAAUCUACCGGCUCAACCGGUAGCCGCACUCAAAACUGCAGUUCUUGAGUGAAGUAGAGGCGGGCGGAAUUCCUAGUGUAGCGGUGAAAUGCGUAGAUAUUAGGAGGAACACCAGUGGCGAAGGCGGCCUGCUGGGCUUUUACUGACGCUGAGGCUCGAAAGUGUGGGGAGCAAACAGGAUUAGAUACCCCAGUAGUC